UCAGGAAAGAAUUAAAAUAAAUCCUUCUUUAAUCUCCAAAAUUAAAAUUUUAAAUAAACUAUUUCCUG
Molecule: transfer RNA, 68 nt
Filed under: Ips sexdentatus
Lineage: Eukaryota; Metazoa; Arthropoda; Insecta; Coleoptera; Curculionidae
Description: tRNA-Pro
Source: RNAcentral